RNAcentral lists this ribosomal RNA (500 nucleotides) under uncultured bacterium. RNAcentral's name for it is "partial 16S ribosomal RNA". It matches the Rfam family "Bacterial small subunit ribosomal RNA", at positions 30 to 523 of the family's 1533-position model. The record is from RNAcentral.
AUUGAACGCUGGCGGCAUGCCUUACACAUGCAAGUCGAACGGCAGCACGGGAGCAAUCCUGGUGGCGAGUGGCGAACGGGUGAGUAAUAUAUCGGAACGUGCCCAGUCGUGGGGGAUAACGUAGCGAAAGCUACGCUAAUACCGCAUACGAUCUAUGGAUGAAAGCGGGGGAUCGCAAGACCUCGCGCGAUUGGAGCGGCCGAUAUCAGAUUAGGUAGUUGGUGAGGUAAAGGCUCACCAAGCCGACGAUCUGUAGCUGGUCUGAGAGGACGGCCAGCCACACUGGGACUGAGACACGGCCCAGACUCCUACGGGAGGCAGCAGUGGGGAAUUUUGGACAAUGGGCGCAAGCCUGAUCCAGCAAUGCCGCGUGCAGGAUGAAGGCCUUCGGGUUGUAAACUGCUUUUGUACGGAACGAAACGGUGAGCUCUAAUACAGUUUGCUAAUGACGGUACCGUAAGAAUAAGCACCGGCUAACUACGUGCCAGCCGCCGCAGUAA